GUACACGCUGUGACUAGCAUAUCAAUAAGCGGAGGAAAGAGCUGAACUGAUGCAGGUACCUACGCUUAGGAUGUUGACGAGACUGUCGAUCUCAUCUAUACAUGACUCUGCGCAUAUCAAUAAGCGGAGGAAAAGAAACUAACAAGGAUUCCCCUAGUAACGGCGAGUGAAGCGGGAAGAGCUCAAAUUUGAAAUCUUAAAGGGUUUCCCUUUACGAAUUGUAGUUUAAAGAAGUGUUUUCUGUUGAGGUUUUGGUAAAAGUUCUUUGGAAUAGGACAUCAUAGAGGGUGAGAAUCCCGUAUUUGACCUUUACUUUCAACUUUGUGAUACACUUUCAAAGAGUCGGAUUGUUUGGGAAUGCAGUCCAAAAUGGGUGGUAAAUUUCAUCUAAAGCUAAAUAUUGGCGAGAGACCGAUAGCGAACAAGUACCGUGAGGGAAAGAUGAAAAGAACUUAGAAAAGAGAGUUAAACAGUACGUGUAAUUGUCAAAAGGGAAGCGUUUGACACCAGUGUUGUUUUUCUGAAAAUCAAUUAAAGAACUGUUUAUGCUAAGCUGUUUAGACUUUAUCAGCUAUCUGUUUAGUUUUGAGCUUUUCUUUAAUGCACUUUUCAGUUAACAAGUCAACAUCAAUUUCUUUUGCUGUAAAAAAGCUUGAGGAAGGUGGCUUGAGAUUCGUCUUAAGUGUUUAUAGCCUCUUGCCUAUGCAGUCGGAGAGAUUGAGGUCUGCAGCGUAGAUCCUUCGGGGCUAAAUGCAUUUGUGCUAAGUUAUAGCAUUUUAUAGACAACUUGUUGACUAUGAUUUGUCUUGUAGCUUACUCGCUUAUGUUAUUUUACCUACGCUUAGGAUGUUGACGAGACUGUCGAUCUC
RNAcentral lists this ribosomal RNA (869 nucleotides) under uncultured Neocallimastigales. RNAcentral describes it as "partial large subunit ribosomal RNA". It matches the Rfam family "Eukaryotic large subunit ribosomal RNA", at positions 1 to 647 of the family's 3401-position model. Lineage: Eukaryota; Fungi; Neocallimastigomycota; Neocallimastigomycetes; Neocallimastigales. The record is from RNAcentral.